Nicotiana attenuata is the source of this 1685-nucleotide RNA transcript. It is a transcript of the gene named probable E3 ubiquitin-protein ligase RHC1A, with no coding region annotated. NCBI's taxonomy places the organism in Eukaryota, Viridiplantae, Streptophyta, Magnoliopsida, Solanales, Solanaceae. The record is from RefSeq and is a predicted model, not a curated record. The transcript has 3 exons.
UUAAGGAAGCUGUAGAAAUAUCCUAUCCAGGGGAGAAAGAAUCUCUCCAUGUAAAGCAUUUCCAAAAAGCCUCUAUAUUUCUGUCUUUCCUUCAUCUAUUUUGUCAAAAUCUGCAACUCAUUGUCUAGCAUUUCUUCUUCCCAAAAAAGAGCAUGUCAUUGAUCCCUCGAAAUCGCCCUCGAGUUAUUGUCAAUGGAGUCCAGAGAAUGAGAACAUACCAUUACUAUUGGUGCAGGCAUUGCCAAAGAUCAAUCAGGACAACAUCAGCCAAUCCAUUUGAAAUAUUAUGUCCUACUUGUUUUGGCCAAGUUCACUAUGAACUUGAUGUUACAAGGCCUAGGCUAAUAGUUUCUGAUGUCACAAGGCUACAACCACAACCAUCCUCGAAUUCUCGCCUUCUUGAUGCCUUGGCACUCAUGACUGAUCCAUCAAUCAGACAACAAAACAAUAAUACUGAUCAAAAUCAUCAGACUAGACAACGCGCUCGUGUCAUUCUCCAAUUUAUAGGCCCUGAUGAUCAACCUAUUAGGCCUGUCUCUCCUCAUGACAACGCGCUUCCUUUGCCUUUCAUUCAAGAAUUGACUCAUAACGAUAGGCCAGGGCCGCCUCCAGCCCCAUCUUCAGCAAUUGAUGCAUUGCCAAGAAUUGUACUCAAUGCAAACCAUUUGGAAAAUGACUCUGUUUGUCCUGUUUGUAAAGAUGAAUUUGAAGUUGGGAUAGAAGUUAAAGAACUUCCUUGCAAGCAUUUUUAUCAUUCAGAAUGCAUUGUUCCAUGGCUUAGAAUGCAUAAUACUUGUCCGGUUUGUCGAUAUCAGCUCGAAGGUUUCUCAAACAAUGAAGAUCAACAUGGAUACACAAAUGAAUUUAAUGAAGAAGAAGAAGAGGAGAACAUGAGGAAUCCUCUAAUAUGGGGUUGGACUCAGCUUAAUUCCUUUUGGCCUUUUAGUUUGCUGUCAAGUUGGGGUCACAGAUAUUUUAACCCUUUUGAGACUACAACUUCUACAUUUCCAAGAGGGAGAGCUUGGUGGAACCCUUGGAUUUUACCUUGAUAAUGCUUGCUGCUUAAUUGGUUCUUUAUUCCAUUUAAGGAACUGUGCAUAGUAGGUUGCUUUUAUCCUUAUUUGCUUCAUUAGGCAUUAAAGCAGGUAUGUUUACAACUCAAUUAUAUAGCAUUAUCAUUAUGAAUAUGUGCAUGGAAUGUACCUGAGCAUGGGAUCAAAUUAAAAGAUUAAGAGACUCAACAGGUCAACUUUAAAAAACCAAAUCGGUUAAUGUUGCUGAUGGCUUAUGGAUUUCAAGGACAUUGUGGUUCGACUAUUAAAGUCAUUGAUUUGUUUUCAGCCAGAAAAAUGCAAGAAGAGAGAGGAAGAAAAAUAUGAAGGGGAGAAAGAGAAGCCUCAGGACUAUGUACAAUGUAGCUUUGUGGACCAAUAUUUCUAUUAUUUGUUCGUAAUGGUCAAAAUUAUGUCUAGCAUCGACCUCAAUCUCUAAAUCUAAAAGCUUGUUUUUUUUUUUUAAAGAAUGAUGACGAGCUACUGAAAAAACAAAUAUUAGGUAACAUGUGUGCUGUGGUAGGUGAAGGAAUAGAUUAACCAAUUUCAAAUUAAAAAUCUUGUGAUCUAAUAGGUCACGUGUUUUAUAACGUAAUUAAGCAGGUUUAUUGAGACUGAUUUAUUAAAAGAAAA